UGAGGAAUAUUGGUCAAUGGGCGAUGGCCUGAACCAGCCAAGUAGCGUGAAGGAUGACUGCCCUAUGGGUUGUAAACUUCUUUUAUAAAGGAAUAAAGUCGGGUAUGCAUACCCGUUUGCAUGUACUUUAUGAAUAAGGAUCGGCUAACUCCGUGCCAGCAGCCGCGGUAAUACGGAGGAUCCGAGCGUUAUCCGGAUUUAUUGGGUUUAAAGGGAGCGUAGAUGGAUGUUUAAGUCAGUUGUGAAAGUUUGCGGCUCAACCGUAAAAUUGCAGUUGAUACUGGAUGUCUUGAGUGCAGUUGAGGCAGGCGGAAUUCGUGGUGUAGCGGUGAAAUGCUUAGAUAUCACGAAGAACUCCGAUUGCGAAGGCAGCCUGCUAAGCUGCAACUGACAUUGAGGCUCGAAAGUGUGGGUAUCAAACAGGAUUAGAUACCCUGGUAGUCCACACGGUAAACGAUGAAUACUCGCUGUUUGCGAUAUACGGCAAGCGGCCAAGCGAAAGCGUUAAGUAUUCCACCUGGGGAGUACGCCGGCAACGGUGAAACUCAAAGGAAUUGACGGGGGCCCGCACAAGCGGAGGAACGUGUGGUUUAAUUCGAUGAUACGCGAGGAACCUUACCCGGGCUUAAAUUGCACUCGAAUGAUCCGGAAACGGUUCAGCUAGCAAUAGCGAGUGUGAAGGUGCUGCAUGGUUGUCGUCAGCUCGUGCCGUGAGGUGUCGGCUUAAGUGCCAUAACGAGCGCAACCCUUGUUGUCAGUUACUAACAGGUGAUGCUGAGGACUCUGACAAGACUGCCAUCGUAAGAUGUGAGGAAGGUGGGGAUGACGUCAAAUCAGCACGGCCCUUACGUCCGGGGCUACACACGUGUUACAAUGGGGGGUACAGAGGGCCGCUACCACGCGAGUGGAUGCCAAUCCCUAAAACCCCUCUCAGUUCGGACUGGAGUCUGCAACCCGACUCCACGAAGCUGGAUUCGCUAGUAAUCGCGCAUCAGCCACGGCGCGGUGAAUACGUUCCC
This 1019-nucleotide ribosomal RNA is filed under the name uncultured bacterium. RNAcentral's name for it is "bacterial SSU rRNA". It matches the Rfam family "Bacterial small subunit ribosomal RNA", at positions 355 to 1375 of the family's 1533-position model. The record is from RNAcentral.